RNAcentral lists this ribosomal RNA (207 nucleotides) under uncultured bacterium. RNAcentral describes it as "partial 16S ribosomal RNA". It matches the Rfam family "Bacterial small subunit ribosomal RNA", at positions 568 to 774 of the family's 1533-position model. The record is from RNAcentral.
CGCGUAGGCGGUUUGGUAAGUCGGAUGUGAAAGCCCCGGGCUUAACCUGGGAAUUGCAUUCGAUACUGCUUGACUAGAGUAUGGUAGAGGGAAGUGGAAUUCCAGGUGUAGCGGUGAAAUGCGUAGAUAUCUGGAGGAACAUCAGUGGCGAAGGCGACUUCCUGGACCAAUACUGACGCUGAGGUGCGAAAGCGUGGGGAGCAAACA